Molecule: small nucleolar RNA, 87 nt
Organism: Impatiens glandulifera
Lineage: Eukaryota; Viridiplantae; Streptophyta; Magnoliopsida; Ericales; Balsaminaceae
Product: small nucleolar RNA snoR114
Exons: 1
Source: RefSeq, a predicted model, not a curated record
GAACUAUGAUGAUAUAUGCACCUUCUGGCUGAUUAGGGUCGGCCACUUUAUCUGAUAAUCAGAUAAAAAAUGUGUACUACUGAGUUC